RNAcentral lists this ribosomal RNA (492 nucleotides) under uncultured bacterium. Its description in RNAcentral is "partial 16S ribosomal RNA". It matches the Rfam family "Bacterial small subunit ribosomal RNA", at positions 29 to 507 of the family's 1533-position model. The record is from RNAcentral.
AGUGAACGCUGGCGGUAGGCCUAACACAUGCAAGUCGAACGGCAGCACAGUAAGAGCUUGCUCUUACGGGUGGCGAGUGGCGGACGGGUGAGGAAUACAUCGGAAUCUACUUUUUCGUGGGGGAUAACGUAGGGAAACUUACGCUAAUACCGCAUACGACCUACGGGUGAAAGCAGGGGAUCUUCGGACCUUGCGCGAUUGAAUGAGCCGAUGUCGGAUUAGCUAGUUGGCGGGGUAAAGGCCUACCAAGGCGACGAUCCGUAACUGGUCUGAGAGGAUGAUCAGCCACACUGGAACUGAGGCACGGUCCAGACUCCUACGGGAGGCAGCAGUGGGGAAUAUUGCGCAAUGGGGGCAAGCCUGAUCCAGCCAUACCGCGUGAGUGAAGAAGGCCUUCGGGUUGUAGAGCCCUUUUGUUGGGAAAGAAGAGCAGCAGGUUAAUACCCCGCUGUUCUGACGGUACCCAAAGAAUAAGCACCGGCUAACUUCGUG